RNAcentral lists this ribosomal RNA (443 nucleotides) under uncultured bacterium. Its description in RNAcentral is "partial 16S ribosomal RNA". It matches the Rfam family "Bacterial small subunit ribosomal RNA", at positions 338 to 795 of the family's 1533-position model. The record is from RNAcentral.
CCUACGGGAGGCAGCAGUGGGGAAUAUUGGACAAUGGGGGGAACCCUGAUCCAGCGACGCCGCGUGAGUGAAGAAGUAUCUCGGUAUGUAAAGCUCUAUCAGCAGGGAAGAAAGAAAUGACGGUACCUGACUAAGCAGCCCCGGCUAACUACGUGCCAGCAGCCGCGGUAAUACGUAGGGGGCAAGCGUUAUCCGGAUUUACUGGGUGUAAAGGGAGCGUAGACGGCUGAGCAAGGCUGAAGUGAAAGGGGGGGGCCCAACCCGCGGACUGCUUUGGAAACUGUAUAGCUAGAGUGCAGGAGAGGUAGGUGGAAUGCCUAGUGUAGCGGUGAAAUGCGUAGAUAUUAGGAGGAACACCAGUGGCGAAGGCGGCUUACUGGACUGUAACUGACGUUGAGGCUCGAAAGCGUGGGGAGCAAACAGGAUUAGAUACCCGGGUAGUC